GACGGCCAGAGCGGCGGGGAUACACCCGGUCCCAUCUGAACCCGGAAGUUAAGCCCGCCUGCGUUUCAUGUUGUACUGCGGUGCGCGAGCCCGCGGGAACCAUGAGACGCUGU
This 113-nucleotide ribosomal RNA is filed under the name uncultured Methanomassiliicoccus sp. The record is from RNAcentral. Lineage: Archaea; Methanobacteriati; Thermoplasmatota; Thermoplasmata; Methanomassiliicoccales; Methanomassiliicoccaceae.